CAGCCUUCCUGGUCCUGCCCUCUAAGUAGCUCGUUAGGGCAUUUAAGGCAGCUGUGGCAGCAUGGCUGCUUCUGCUUUUCUCUGGCUGUUCUCCGGUUGCUAAUAUUGGCUCCUCUCUGUGACUGGGUGUCCUGUUUACCUGGUCUGCUGCUAACCGAUUGGUGAUUUAAGUCCCGGCCUGCCCUUCGGUGCUGGGGAUUGUUACCCUGAGGCUGCUUGGCCAACGUGCAUUUUACCCAAGGUCUCCAUCAGCUGCUGUUUUGCCAAGAUAGAUUUUAUAUUCAAUGUGUAUGUGUUUUAUCUAGCCAGUUGUCUGGUAUUUUUAUUGUGAGCUUACUGGUGUACUGGUGACCCUUUUCUGAUUGUUAAUAUUUCUUUUAUUUCUUUGAAGUGGAACUGAGUGCUGGCUUGGUUGCGAGGCUAGACACCUUGGUGUGGUUCCCCUCACUGGUUGGUAGUGUUAAAAAGAGCACUGGGACACUUGUUUUUCACCUGUUUGCCGUGGUAGCCAUUUUAGAGUGAAUACACGUGUGGUAGGAAAGUGGUUGCACCCCUGGACACACACUCAGCUAGCCUGCCUCCCCAUUG
Long non-coding RNA from Conger conger (European conger), 588 nucleotides. RefSeq lists it as uncharacterized. NCBI's taxonomy places the organism in Eukaryota, Metazoa, Chordata, Actinopteri, Anguilliformes, Congridae. The transcript is spliced from 3 exons. The record is from RefSeq and is a predicted model, not a curated record.